Molecule: microRNA, 19 nt
Filed under: Schistosoma mansoni
Lineage: Eukaryota; Metazoa; Platyhelminthes; Trematoda; Strigeidida; Schistosomatidae
Description: sma-miR-8456-5p
Source: miRBase by way of RNAcentral
UUACUUUGUUUUAUUUUGG